Molecule: unclassified non-coding RNA, 373 nt
Filed under: soil metagenome
Description: partial contains 5.8S ribosomal RNA, internal transcribed spacer 2, and large subunit ribosomal RNA
Rfam family: 5.8S ribosomal RNA (bases 1-121)
Source: RNAcentral
GAUGAAGAACGUAGCGAAAUGCGAUAAGUAAUGCGAAUUGCAGAAUUCCAGUGAGUCAUCGAAUCUUUGAACGCACAUUGCGCCCUUUGGUAUUCCGAAGGGCAUGCCUGUUCGAGCGUCAUUAUCACCCCUCAAGCCCUCGGCUUGGUGUUGGACGGUUUGGUGGAGGCCCCCUCGGGGGUUCCUGCCCCUCCCAAAGACAAUGACGGCGGCCUCGUUGGACCCCCGGUACACUGAGUUCUUCACGGGACACGUAUCGGACACAUGGGUUUACGGGACACGGUCUGCCUCCCCUCAGGGAGAAUCUUUCUAAGGUUGACCUCGGAUCAGGUAGGGAUACCCGCUGAACUUAAGCAUAUCAAUAGGCGGAGGA